AGUAAAUAGAUACCCCGGUAGUCCACGCCGCAAACGAUGUCGACUUGGAGGUUGUGCCCUUGAGGCGUGGCUUCCGGAGCUAAACGCGUUAAGUCGACCGCCUGGGGAGUACGGCCGCAAGGUUAAAACUCAAAUGAAUUGACGGGGGCCCGCACAAGCGGUGGAGCAUGUGGUUUAAUUCGAUGCAACGCGAAGAACCUUACCUACUCUUGACAUCCAGAGAACUUAGCAGAGAUGCUUUGGUGCCUUCGGGAACUCUGAGACAGGUGCUGCAUGGCUGUCGUCAGCUCGUGUUGUGAAAUGUUGGGUUAAGUCCCGCAACGAGCGCAACCCUUAUCCUUUGUUGCCAGCGGUUAGGCCGGGAACUCAAAGGAGACUGCCAGUGAUAAACUGGAGGAAGGUGGGGAUGACGUCAAGUCAUCAUGGCCCUUACGAGUAGGGCUACACACGUGCUACAAUGGCGCAUACAAAGAGAAGCGACCUCGCGAGAGCAAGCGGACCCCAUAAAGUGCGUCGUAGUCCGG
RNAcentral lists this ribosomal RNA (524 nucleotides) under uncultured bacterium. Its description in RNAcentral is "bacterial SSU rRNA". It matches the Rfam family "Bacterial small subunit ribosomal RNA", at positions 774 to 1296 of the family's 1533-position model. The record is from RNAcentral.